CGGAAGGCAGCAGUGGGGAAUAUUGCACAAUGGGGGAAACCCUGAUGCAGCGACGCCGCGUGAGUGAAGAAGUAUUUCGGUAUGUAAAGCUCUAUCAGCAGGAAAGAAAAUGACGGUACCUGACUAAGAAGCCCCGGCUAACUACGUGCCAGCAGCCGCGGUAAUACGUAGGGGGCAAGCGUUAUCCGGAUUUACUGGGUGUAAAGGGAGCGUAGACGGCUUUGCAAGUCUGAAGUGAAAGCCCGGGGCUCAACCCCGGAACUGCUUUGGAAACUGUAGAGCUAGAGUGCAGGAGAGGUAAGUGGAAUUCCUAGUGUAGCGGUGAAAUGCGUAGAUAUUAGGAGGAACACCAGUGGCGAAGGCGGCUUACUGGACUGUAACUGACGUUGAGGCUCGAAGGCGUGGGGAGCAAACAGGAUUAGAUACCCUGGUA
This 433-nucleotide ribosomal RNA is filed under the name uncultured Lachnospiraceae bacterium. RNAcentral's name for it is "partial 16S ribosomal RNA". It matches the Rfam family "Bacterial small subunit ribosomal RNA", at positions 342 to 792 of the family's 1533-position model. Lineage: Bacteria; Bacillati; Bacillota; Clostridia; Lachnospirales; Lachnospiraceae. The record is from RNAcentral.